AGCAGCCGCCGCGGGAAUACGGAGGGUGCGAGCGUUAAUCGGAAUAACUGGGCGUAAAGGGCACGCAGGCGGGCUUUUAAGUGAGGUGUGAAAUCUCCGGGCUUAACCUGGGAAUUGCAUUUCAGACUGGGAGUCUAGAGUACUUUAGGGAGGGGUAGAAUUCCACGUGUAGCGGUGAAAUGCGUAGAGAUGUGGAGGAAUACCGAAGGCGAAGGCAGCCCCUUGGGAAUGUACUGACGCUCAUGUGCGAAAGCGUGGGGAGCAAACAGGAUUAGAUACCCCAGUAGUCCCUGUCUCUUAUAC
This 303-nucleotide ribosomal RNA is filed under the name uncultured bacterium. Its description in RNAcentral is "partial 16S ribosomal RNA". It matches the Rfam family "Bacterial small subunit ribosomal RNA", at positions 507 to 807 of the family's 1533-position model. The record is from RNAcentral.